Molecule: long non-coding RNA, 459 nt
Filed under: Rattus norvegicus (Norway rat)
Lineage: Eukaryota; Metazoa; Chordata; Mammalia; Rodentia; Muridae
Description: long non-coding RNA NONRATT000495
Source: RNAcentral
GGCUGUGCCUCGGGCCAGAAAACAUUGCCUGGCAUAAAGUAGGCCCUCCUUUCAGACUCGAAGGAUAACGGUAUGAACUCCUACCAGCCUCAUUUUUCCAUCAGACCACUGAGCUCAGUGACAGCCCACCCUCCUUUCCCUCCUAGUGGCGAAUUCCUGUCAAGGAAGCAAAGACUAUCAAUAGAUUUUCUUAUUGCGUGAAGAAGAUAUGGAGAGGAAACAGUUGGCGCUCUAACUUCCUCGACUGCUGAUGGAGAUAACCCGCCAGGCCUCCCACUCUGAGGCGUAAGGCGUCGCGAGGGUAAGACCGACGCAGAGUUCCCAAAAAUGUACCGAAUGACUGCGUCCAUCACAACUACGCCCCACCCCCAGAGGGCAAAUAUAGCACCAAUCAUCAGCGCACAGGGCGGGCUCAGGGGAGGAGCCUGCUGUUGCCCCAGCAACAACCCGGGAACCCUA